RNAcentral lists this ribosomal RNA (400 nucleotides) under phytoplankton environmental sample. RNAcentral's name for it is "partial small subunit ribosomal RNA". It matches the Rfam family "Eukaryotic small subunit ribosomal RNA", at positions 587 to 992 of the family's 1831-position model. The record is from RNAcentral.
AGCUCCAAGAGCGUAUAUUUAAGUUGUUGCAGUUAAAAAGCUCGUAGUUGGAUUUCGGGCGCGUCGGACCGGUCCGCCGUUGCGGUGUGCACUGGUCUGGCUCGUCUUCUGGUCGGUGACGCGGUCCGUGCCUUUACUGGCGCGGUCGCGGAGUCGGCGCUGUUACUUUGAAAAAAUUAGAGUGUUCAAAGCGGGCUUACGCUUGAAUAUAUUAGCAUGGAAUAACACUAUAGGACUCCGAUCCUAUUUUGUUGGUCUUCGGGACUGGAGUAAUGAUUAAGAGGAACAGUUGGGGGCAUUCGUAUUUCAUUGUCAGAGGUGAAAUUCUUGGAUUUAUGAAAGACGAACUUCUGCGAAAGCAUUUGCCAAGGAUGUUUUCAUUAAUCAAGAACGAAAGUAG